GAUGAACGCUGGCGGCGUGCCUAAUACAUGCAAGUCGAGCGAACAGACGAGAAGCUUGCUCCUCUGACGUUAGCGGCGGACGGGUGAGUAACACGUGGAUAACCUACCUAUAAGACUGGGAUAACUUCGGGAAACCGGAGCUAAUACCGGAUAAUAUAUUGAACCGCAUGGUUCAAUAGUGAAAGACGGUUUUGCUGUCACUUAUAGAUGGAUCCGCGCUGCAUUAGCUAGUUGGUAAGGUAACGGCUUACCAAGGCAACGAUGCAUAGCCGACCUGAGAGGGUGAUCGGCCACACUGGAACUGAGACACGGUCCAGACUCCUACGGGAAGCAGCAGUAGGGAAUCUUCCGCAAUGGGCGAAAGCCUGACGGAGCAACGCCGCGUGAGUGAUGAAGGUCUUCGGAUCGUAAAACUCUGUUAUUAGGGAAGAACAAAUGUGUAAGUAACUAUGCACGUCUUGACGGUACCUAAUCAGAAAGCCACGGCUAACUACGUG
Molecule: ribosomal RNA, 497 nt
Filed under: uncultured bacterium
Lineage: Bacteria
Description: partial 16S ribosomal RNA
Rfam family: Bacterial small subunit ribosomal RNA
Source: RNAcentral